AGAUUGAACGCUGGCGGCAGGCCUAACACAUGCAAGUCGAGCGGUAGAGAGGUGCUUGCAUCUCUUGAGAGCGGCGGACGGGUGAGUAAUGCCUAGGAAUCUGCCUAGUGGGUGGGGGAUAACGUUCGGAAACGGACGCUAAUACCGCAUACGUCCUACGGGAGAAAGGCGGGGGACCUUCGGGCCUCGCGCCAUUAGAUGAGCCUAGGUCGGAUUAGCUAGUUGGUGAGGUAAUGGCUCACCAAGGCGACGAUCCGUAACUGG
This 264-nucleotide ribosomal RNA is filed under the name uncultured soil bacterium. RNAcentral's name for it is "partial 16S ribosomal RNA". It matches the Rfam family "Bacterial small subunit ribosomal RNA", at positions 26 to 290 of the family's 1533-position model. The record is from RNAcentral.